This 1066-nucleotide ribosomal RNA is filed under the name human gut metagenome. RNAcentral describes it as "bacterial SSU rRNA". It matches the Rfam family "Bacterial small subunit ribosomal RNA", at positions 8 to 1073 of the family's 1533-position model. The record is from RNAcentral.
AGAGUUUGAUCCUGGCUCAGGAUGAACGCUAGCGGCAGGCUUAACACAUGCAAGUCGAGGGGCAGCGCGGGGUAGCAAUACUCUGGCGGCGACCGGCGGAAGGGUGCGUAACACGUGAGCGACUUGCCCGUCACAGGGAGAUAACCGGCGGAAACGGCGACUAAUAUCCCAUAUGAUCCGAUGCUACAUGGCGUCGGGUUGAAAGAUUCAUCGGUGACGGAUAGGCUCGCGGGACAUUAGCUGGACGGCGGGGCAACGGCCCACCGUGGCGACGAUGUCUAGGGGUUCUGAGAGGAAGAUCCCCCACACUGGAACUGAGACACGGUCCAGACUCCUACGGGAGGCAGCAGUGAGGAAUAUUGGUCAAUGGGCGGAAGCCUGAACCAGCCAUGCCGCGUGAAGGAAUAAGGCCCUAUGGGUCGUAAACUUCUUUAGACGCAGAGCAAUAAGGGUCUCGUGAGGCCCGAUGAGAGUAUGCGUAGAAUAAGCAUCGGCUAACUCCGUGCCAGCAGCCGCGGUAAUACGGGGGAUGCGAGCGUUAUCCGGAUUUAUUGGGUUUAAAGGGUGCGUAGGCGGCAAGGUAAGUCAGCGGUGAAAGACCAGGGCUCAACUCUGGAAGUGCCGUUGAUACUGUCUGGCUAGAAUGAUUCCGCCGUGGGAGGAAUGAGUAGUGUAGCGGUGAAAUGCAUAGAUAUUACUCAGAACACCGAUUGCGAAGGCAUCUCACGAGGGGUUCAUUGACGCUGAGGCACGAAAGCGUGGGGAUCGAACAGGAUUAGAUACCCUGGUAGUCCACGCAGUAAACGAUGAUGGCUAACUGUCGGGCCUUAUGGGUUCGGCGGCCAAGCGAAAGCGAUAAGCCAUCCACCUGGGGAGUACGACCGCAAGGUUGAAACUCAAAGGAAUUGACGGGGGCCCGCACAAGCGGAGGAACAUGUGGUUUAAUUCGAUGAUACGCGAGGAACCUUACCCAGGCUCGAACGGCAUCUGAAUCGUCCAGAGAUGGGCGAGUCUUCGGACAGAUGUCGAGGUGCUGCAUGGUUGUCGUCAGCUCGUGCCGUGAGGU